This 417-nucleotide unclassified non-coding RNA is filed under the name fungal sp. RNAcentral's name for it is "partial internal transcribed spacer region". The stretch from base 1 to 46 matches the Rfam family "Eukaryotic small subunit ribosomal RNA", at positions 1786 to 1831 of the family's 1831-position model. Lineage: Eukaryota; Fungi. The record is from RNAcentral.
AAGUCGUAACAAGGUUUCCGUAGGUGAACCUGCGGAAGGAUCAUUAACACGUAUCCAAACGUUAAAACCCCCCGUGAAACUUCAUCCUGCUCUUGUAACCCGCGUAGUUCGCACCUGCCCGAGUGUACGGUCUACAGGAAUCGUAGAAGCGCUAUCCUUGCACAAUCAAUGACACUUUCCGACACUGACUGCUUGGGGAAACAUUGCCUAUAGAACUACCGCUCGAUUGUAACUGUUCCAAUGUUCGCACGUAGCCAGAGGUCUCUGAAUCACUACAACUUUCCGGGCUAUGAUUUAUCAGAGCUUUGCCAAAGGGUCCCCAUGCCCCCUAAUAACCCCACAGUUUAAUGUGAAGCUCAAUGUAAUACAUUGGGUAAAAAAACCGAACAACUGUUAACAAUGGAUAUCUUGGUUCUC